ACAGAGGUCUCAAGCGUUGUUCGGAUUCAUUGGGCGUAAAGGGUGCGUAGGUGGCAUGGUAAGUCGGAUGUGAAAUCCCGGGGCUCAACCCCGGAACUGCAUUCGAUACUGCUGCGCUAGAGUACUGGAGAGGAGAUUGGAAUUUACGGUGUAGCAGUGAAAUGCGUAGAUAUCGUAAGGAAGACCUGUGGCGAAGGCGGAUCUCUGGACAGUUACUGACGCUGAGACGCGAAAGCGUGGGGAGCAAACAGGA
This 253-nucleotide ribosomal RNA is filed under the name uncultured prokaryote. RNAcentral describes it as "partial 16S ribosomal RNA". It matches the Rfam family "Bacterial small subunit ribosomal RNA", at positions 525 to 777 of the family's 1533-position model. The record is from RNAcentral.